This 24-nucleotide small RNA is filed under the name Bombyx mori (domestic silkworm). RNAcentral's name for it is "ovarian small RNA-10697". Lineage: Eukaryota; Metazoa; Arthropoda; Insecta; Lepidoptera; Bombycidae. The record is from RNAcentral.
AAGUGAUGCAGGAUACGGGUCAGU